CACGCGCGCCGUCUCCCCCCGGAGGCGUCUGGGUGAGCGGAGCGCGGGCGCGCGCGCGCGAGGCUCGGAGGCGCACCUGUGAGGUGUCCCCCGGAGAGGGCCGGUGGGCGCGCGGAGUCCGCGGCCUAGACGCGCUCCUCCGCCGCACUUGGGAGUGAGUUGGGCCGGCCGACGCACUGCGCAGCCCCGGCCGAGGUCGCCCAGCAUCCCGCCGAGGUGAUGAGGACCUCCCCGCUGCCCCAGCAAGUCCGGCUGCCGCCGCCGGACGCCUCCAUUGUUUGACCACCGCCUGGGCCCGGCUCCCCGCAGACCUGCAAGUCCAAGAGACGUGUCUCUGGAAGACAAGAGCUGCCUCUUCGGGAUCAAAAAAAGAAAACCAGCGUGCUACUGUAUAGAGUCCCCAGGAGCAAGACUGGCUGUGCCUGGAGCCAAGGAACCUUCAUGCUGUCAAGGCCUGCCAUCUGAUGGGCAGGAGGCAGAGCGACAUUCUGACUCUUUUUGGAGAGCUACCGGGGCUCACCAUCAGCUGGCACCUUCUGCCCUGGGCAGACAGAUCACUACACAGGCUUUGUUUUAUGGGUGAAAAGUAGAAGAGUACUGCACAUCAGAAAGAAUCCAGGGUCUCAAAACAGAGGCUUACUCUUUCCUGCCCCUGGAAUGUUGACUACAAGGGAUCUAAAGGAAAGAAAGCUCUGUGCUGAGGAGCUAUGGGAUUCAUAUGAAAGCCAGUGCGACUUCGUAAUCAGUAAGAGCUGAGUGAGGAACACUAUGCAGGAAGAAGCCUUCCACAGAAAGACAGGCAGGGAGAAGCUGAGGCUGAUGGUAAGCUUGCCCAAUAGAGCAGGCCUGAGAUAGACUGCCAAGAUGGCAAAAUAAGACGCUUUAUGAAGUAGCAGUCCUGGAACUCAGAGUUAUAAGGACACUUUCUUCUCUAAGUCACGAUACCAAAUAGGAAAAAUGAUCUACAAGUGCCCCAUGUGCAGGGAAUUUUUCUCUGAGAGAGCAGAUCUUUUUAUGCACCAGAAAAUCCACACAGCAGAGAAACCCCAUAAAUGUGACAAGUGUGAUAAGGGUUUCUUUCACAUAUCAGAACUUCAUAUUCAUUGGCGAGACCACACAGGAGAGAAGGUCUAUAAAUGUGAUGAUUGUGGUAAGGAUUUUAGCACGACAACAAAACUUAAUAGACAUAAGAAAAUCCACACUGUGGAAAAGCCCUAUAAAUGCUAUGAGUGUGGCAAAGCCUUCAACUGGAGCUCCCAUCUUCAAAUCCACAUGAGAGUCCACACUGGUGAGAAGCCGUAUGUCUGCAGUGAGUGUGGGAGGGGUUUCAGUAAUAGUUCUAACCUUUGUAUGCACCAGAGAGUCCACACUGGGGAGAAGCCCUUCAAAUGUGAAGAGUGUGGGAAAGCCUUCAG
Mesocricetus auratus (golden hamster) is the source of this 1415-nucleotide RNA transcript. RefSeq lists it as uncharacterized. The record is from RefSeq and is a predicted model, not a curated record. NCBI's taxonomy places the organism in Eukaryota, Metazoa, Chordata, Mammalia, Rodentia, Cricetidae. The transcript has 4 exons.